AAUUGAGCCGCAAUGGUUUUCG
Molecule: microRNA, 22 nt
Filed under: Heligmosomoides polygyrus
Lineage: Eukaryota; Metazoa; Nematoda; Chromadorea; Rhabditida; Heligmosomidae
Description: hpo-miR-10126-3p
Source: miRBase by way of RNAcentral